This 72-nucleotide transfer RNA is filed under the name Ornithorhynchus anatinus (platypus). It matches the Rfam family "tRNA". Rfam says of the family: Transfer RNA (tRNA) molecules are approximately 80 nucleotides in length. Their secondary structure includes four short double-helical elements and three loops (D, anti-codon, and T loops). The record is from Rfam by way of RNAcentral. Lineage: Eukaryota; Metazoa; Chordata; Mammalia; Monotremata; Ornithorhynchidae.
GGCAGUGUGGCCAAGUGGGAAGAGCACGGGACUGGGUUCCAGGAAACCUGGGUUCCAGUCCCAGUUCUACCA